UUACGCCCCGUAUUUUUAUACAUUGGGACAACCCGGAUUAAUUAUGAUAAUUUAGAGCCAAGACUAUUCCGGGAUUCGAAGUCGGGACUUUUGACCUUUGAUUUUAUUUCGAGGCAUAAGUUAUAUAUGGAAUUGUUGGCAUUGAACACUUAGGAAAAAUUUGGGACCACAAUUCAUAAAUUGGAAUUAAAAUGUUGUGCAAAAAAAUAAAAAAUAAAAAAUAAAUUCCUUGGUGGCCAUGUAAAUGGGAAUUGGUCCCACACAUUAUGUGGCCAAUUUUAAUUGGUCCACUCCAUGUGUGGGCCAAGGACACUUGGACAACAACUAUAUGAGCCUAAAGUAUGACCAAGUAGUCAUCUUUUCCCCAUUGCAAGACUUAGAAAAAAAAAUCAAGGAGUUGAAGACCACCUUCAACACCCCUCUCGGCUACAAACCAAGAAAAACCAAAUCCAAAUCAAGCCACCCCAAAAUUAUUUCCUUGGUAUAAAUCAACUAUUUAGAAGUCCCUAAGUAACGUGGAAGAGUUGUUUGGGUCAUCCAACCACUAGUUGUGCCCAAUUGCAAACCCUAACUAUUGAAGGAAGUGAAGAAGGAAGACCUUGGGCAGCCCGAAUCAUAGUUUGGACUUAGCUUGAGUUGGAUCAUAUUGGAGAGCGUUUGAGGUACAGACGCACAGCCUGGUGAUCCACCUGUUUAGGAUACCCUUUCUGCUAUU
This is a long non-coding RNA of Lycium barbarum (goji berry), 715 nucleotides long. RefSeq lists it as uncharacterized. The record is from RefSeq and is a predicted model, not a curated record. NCBI's taxonomy places the organism in Eukaryota, Viridiplantae, Streptophyta, Magnoliopsida, Solanales, Solanaceae. The transcript has 3 exons.